GAUGAAGAACGCAGCGAAAUGCGAUAAGUAAUGUGAAUUGCAGAAUUCAGUGAAUCAUCGAAUCUUUGAACGCACAUUGCGCCCGCCAGUAUUCUGGCGGGCAUGCCUGUUCGAGCGUCAUUACAACCCUCAGGCCCCCGGGCCUGGCGUUGGGGAUCGGCGGAGCCCCCCGUGGGCACACGCCGUCCCCCAAAUACAGUGGCGGUCCCGCCGCAGCUUCAAUCGCGUAGUAGCUAACACCUCGCGACUGGAGAGCGGCGCGGCCACGCCGUAAAACACCCAACUCUUCUGAAGUUGACCUCGAAUCAGGUAGGAAUACCCGCUGAACUUAAGCAUAUCAAUAAGCGGAGGA
Molecule: unclassified non-coding RNA, 352 nt
Filed under: soil metagenome
Description: partial contains 5.8S ribosomal RNA, internal transcribed spacer 2, and large subunit ribosomal RNA
Rfam family: 5.8S ribosomal RNA (bases 1-120)
Source: RNAcentral